UUUCGGGGUACACGAGCGGCGAACGGGUGAGUAACACGUGGGUGAUCUGCCCUGCACUUCGGGAUAAGCCUGGGAAACUGGGUCUAAUACCGGAUAUGACCUCCUAUCGCAUGGUGGGUGGUGGAAAGAUUUAUCGGUGCAGGAUGGGCCCGCGGCCUAUCAGCUUGUUGGUGGGGUAAUGGCCUACCAAGGCGACGACGGGUAGCCGACCUGAGAGGGUGACCGGCCACACUGGGACUGAGACACGGCCCAGACUCCUACGGGAGGCAGCAGUGGGGAAUAUUGCACAAUGGGCGAAAGCCUGAUGCAGCGACGCCGCGUGAGGGAUGACGGCCUUCGGGUUGUAAACCUCUUUCAGCAGGGACGAAGCGCAAGUGACGGUACCUGCAGAAGAAGCACCGGCUAACUACGUGCCAGCAGCCGCGGUAAUACGUAGGGUGCAAGCGUUGUCCGGAAUUACUGGGCGUAAAGAGUUCGUAGGCGGUUUGUCGCGUCGUUUGUGAAAACCAGCAGCUCAACUGCUGGCUUGCAGGCGAUACGGGCAGACUUGAGUACUGCAGGGGAGACUGGAAUUCCUGGUGUAGCGGUGAAAUGCGCAGAUAUCAGGAGGAACACCGGUGGCGAAGGCGGGUCUCUGGGCAGUAACUGACGCUGAGGAACGAAAGCGUGGGUAGCGAACAGGAUUAGAUACCCUGGUAGUCCAC
Molecule: ribosomal RNA, 704 nt
Filed under: Rhodococcus sp. (in: high G+C Gram-positive bacteria)
Lineage: Bacteria; Bacillati; Actinomycetota; Actinomycetes; Mycobacteriales; Nocardiaceae
Description: bacterial SSU rRNA
Rfam family: Bacterial small subunit ribosomal RNA
Source: RNAcentral